RNAcentral lists this ribosomal RNA (331 nucleotides) under uncultured bacterium. RNAcentral's name for it is "bacterial SSU rRNA". It matches the Rfam family "Bacterial small subunit ribosomal RNA", at positions 29 to 369 of the family's 1533-position model. The record is from RNAcentral.
AAUGAACGUUGGCGGCGUGGAUUAGGCAUGCAAGUCGAGCGAGUCUACCUGGUAGCAAUAUUGGGUAAGUCGAGCGGCGUAAGGGGCAGUAAUACCUGGGAACGUACCCUGAGGUUGGGGAUAGCUGCUGGAAACGGCGAGUAAUACCCGAUGAACUCGAGAGAGCAAAAGGCUUGCCGCCGGAGGAGCGGCCCAGGCGAUAUUAGCUAGUUGGUGAGGUAAUGGCUUACCAAGGCUUAGAUGUCUAGCGGGUGUGAGAGCACGACCCGCGCCACUGGCACUGAGACACUGGCCAGACACCUACGGGUGGCUGCAGUCGAGAAUCUUCGGC